CGGAAGAGGAAUUGAGUGCAGAAGACGAUAACUAUGAAAAUAUCGUACAGUGGUUAAAAAAUAACUACGAACCGUGGCCACAAGUGAUUGAACAUUGGAAGGAAACGUCCAAAACCAGGCUAAAAAAGUACAACGAGAGUCAGUCUACAAUAUUUGAAUAUUUAACAACAUUCCCUGGACUUAAGAGACCUCUUGGAUACACUUUAUUUGAAGUGGAUUUCCAAAAACUUUUCCCGAAUCAGGAAUACAAUUUAUACGCAAAAAUUAAUGAUUUUGUCGUGAAAAUUUUGAGCUUAGCCAAAAAUUCAAAAGAUGUAAAUGUAAAACAUUACUUAGAGAAGUUGUCAGAAAGUCAGUCUGAAGAUGCCACUAAUGCACUUGCAUUAUUAAUUUUACCCCAUCUUGUCCAAACAAGUGUCAUAUCAAGUACGUCACAAUCAAAUCCAAAAAAAAAAAAAUAAGAUGGAGACCGUCAAAAACUGAGUGCCAGGAGACGUUUUUACUGCAUGUUCCAACAGCAGACGAAGUGAAGGUGGUGCUAGAACAGCAGCGGAACAAAUUUCUUAAUAAGUGUGAUACAUUUCAACCCCUACCCAUUGUGGUAGGUAACUUUGAAAAUUGAAGUUGCAUGUUACAAGUAGACUCUUAUCUAUAUAGCGUAGAGAGCGUAGUCAAAUGUUUUGAUGUAUGUUUCAAAAUGUUCCACGUUUUAAAUGCAGAAUAUCCGUCUCCAAGUAAGCAUCUUUGGCAGUUAAUUCAACAGCACAUAUACAAUAUUCACGAUGCAAAACAUGAUGUAAAUUACAUUUCCGUCAAUACAUUUUUGAGUCAGUUGAAUAACUGUUAAAUUUUU
This is a long non-coding RNA of Zophobas morio, 853 nucleotides long. RefSeq lists it as uncharacterized. The record is from RefSeq and is a predicted model, not a curated record. Lineage: Eukaryota; Metazoa; Arthropoda; Insecta; Coleoptera; Tenebrionidae. The transcript has 3 exons.